Molecule: unclassified non-coding RNA, 3967 nt
Filed under: Leguminivora glycinivorella
Lineage: Eukaryota; Metazoa; Arthropoda; Insecta; Lepidoptera; Tortricidae
Description: uncharacterized LOC125228696, transcript variant X2
Source: RNAcentral
UAUUUUACCAUUCCAUUCGCGUCGGGUGCCCGCGCCGAACGCACGCUCGCUCUGUAACCGUCCGUUCCAAUCGUAUUCAAAUAUAAAACUAGUGUGAACCAACCCUGUCGUGUUUCCCCUUGUUGUCUCCCUUAUCAUUUCCGAGUUUUGAGUGAACCGCGUGAUUGGUGAAAACUUUUGUGGAAUGAAAUGUUGAUAAACGUAUUUUAUCGGCUUGUGCAACUUAUGAUGGACACCAUUGGAACAAUUUAAUUGUGGUUUUGUAAAAGGUGGGCGACCAGCUGGUGAGCGUGAACGGGUACCGAGUCGACGACGCCGUGCACGGCGAGCUGGUCCACUACCUCGCGUCACAGUCACGCCUCAAGAUCAAAGUCAGACAUGUGGGAAUGGUGCCAAUAAAAGACAAAGCCCACGACUCCCUCUCGUGGCAGUACGUGUCGGACCGUGCGUCACUGGGCUCCGACGUUUCGUCUUCACCGACUCUGUGUCACGACACGGAACGCAUGGCUGACCUGCGGCUGUCAAUACUCGUGCCGCCCAGGGCCAAACUAGGCUGCGGGAUCUGCAAAGGCCCCGAGUGGAAGCCGGGCAUCUUCGUGCAGUUCGUGCGGGAGAAUGGGAUCGCCCGGGAGGCGGGCUUGCGGCCGGGGGACCAAAUACUGGCGUGCAACGGGCAGGACUUCGCCAACGUUUCUUUUAAUGAUGCUAUCUCAGCUAUGAAAGCGUCAGGCCGACUGGAGUUGCUCAUCCGCGAAGGAGCCGGUACCGAGCUGGUGUCUCCAGAGAGUUCCGGCUACAACAGCUCAGCGUCAUCGGCCGCGGGGGAGAGGAGUCCUGCACCAGUCGCGCACGUGCCCCUUGCGCCUCCAGCAGCGUUGAGGAGGCGGCUCGCCAGUGUGGCUGAGGAGGCUGCUGACCGCGCUGACAGACUGAAUAUGAAUCGACUGAAGCGUCGGACAUGGGAUAGUUUAGACUUCGACUGGAAGAACAUGGACAUUCACAACUUCGACGCACCAUCAGACAUAGAACCCGAUUACGAUAGCCCUAGUAUACCAAAUAACCCCCACACGUACGAAAAUAAAAGUAAUAUUAGGAAAAAUAAUAUGAAUAAGAAAGAAAUAAUUAGCAGCCCAUCAAAUAGAACUAUAAUUAAUUUAACUGAAGACGGUGCCACGAUACAAUGUAGUUACGACAAUCAAUCUCCUAGGAAAAGUACAUUUUCGGCGAAUCAGUCAAAUAGGGAAAAUGAUAAGAAGACGAUAGUGGUGGAGGUGCAUCACACAAGCGCUCCGGCUUGUGGCAAGCCGCAUUGCAAUUACCCGCCGCCUAUGAAGAAGGACCUCAGCUCUGACAAUGCAAGUAUUUCCAGUUGUGGGACGCUAUCGAGUGCUAUCGCCGAAGAAAUACAGAAACGAAAAUUGAACAAGAAGAAUUCGAAUCCAGAGAACAGCCUACCUUUAAGUCUCAUAAAGAAGGCGAGCUUGCCGGCGCCGGUCGACGACAAGAAGAAGCAGCACGACGCGCUCAUGGACGAGUUCAAGAAGGUGCACCGGAAGAUGUUCUCGGGACAGGACCCUUGCGAAACGGCGAACACUGAGAACAAUGUGGAUAGUUUGGAUCGCCAGCAAACGCUGCCGCUGAGGAAGUUAGAAGUCCAGCCAGAAACCCAUACCAACGGCCACCAGGCGAAGCGAGAACUGACCAAUGGCCAUCAACAACCGAAGCGAGAAUUGACCAAUGGCCAACAGCUACGAGAAACUUUCAACGGGCACAUUCAAAAACGAGACACAGCGAACGGGCAUAUAAGCGAAGCUUUGAAUGGGCACAUUCUGCAGAAACGCGACGAGUUGAAUGGGUUUCAGCAGAAGCGGGAAGCGAAUGGACAGCCGCAUUCUAAUGGACUUGUAAAACGUGAAGCCGCGGACAACCCUCCUCCACCACCACCGAUGCCGGCGGUGAAUGGUCAACAGAACGGAGAACAUAAAAAACUAGACAUAUCGAAAUCGAUUCCAAAAACACUUAACACGGAUCUGGUUAACUCUUUGAACCAAAGAAAUGGUUCGUUGGCACGAACGCCGACGCCCGACUACAAUAACAAGACAGAUUUUAAGACACAGUUUAAAUUGAAAAGCGUGAAAGAUGACAAGGCCGAGCUGGACUCACUAGAGUCAUAUACAUUGAAGAAUCCAGCUAACGUGCAACCUAAGCCGCCAUCGAAUUAUUUUGUGAAAGCUCCAAACGGGACAACGACUAUGAAGAAACUGCGACCGGUGUCCGUCACGAUCGGGGAGUACGCCACAGGCGGGAACAGCCGGCGGGAACCUUCCAAGCUGGAGUUCCUCAAUGGUGACAAACCUGACGGGCCUAUGCCGGCAGACGACGAAGAACAUAUUUCCAACAGACUUCAGUCGGAGUUAGCGCUCACACUUUCUAGGUCAAAUUUACGCAAAAAGACUGACGCAUUGGCUUAUCAGAUAGGUCCAGAUAUCCAGAGAGUUGAUAACGAAGAUAGUGAUUGGUCUAUAGACAAAAAUUUUCACGCCAGAUAUGGAAACAAUCUAUUGCCUCUACCGCCGACCAUAACAAUACCCAAAGUAUCGAAAGUAAAGCAUUGAGAGGCGUUACUAAUAUCUUUGUUAUUGCGUCAUUAUCCAUUGUCUUUUAAACAGAGAUGAUUAUAAUAUGCCGACGCGGGUCGAUGAUUUGAAGAUCACUUUGAUUUGUGAUUGCAAGUAGUUUAAUUAGUGUGUUUUAUGCCGCGUAUCACAUCACGUAUUUUUAAUUCAGUAAAUUCUGUAUAAUUAUCUUAGUAUAUCUGUAAAUAAAAAAGUAUAUAUCUAAUUGAAUAAUUCAAAAGUCCCGAAGAAGAAAUUGCUAUUAACUGGUUUGAAAAACGUUUCAAUUGAAUUUAUUUAUUUUUGUUGCUUUAGAAAAUAUUUACUAUAGGCACUGAACAGUGAAUUACCAAAGGCGCGUUCGAUAAUUUGUUUGGGAGUCAGGUCAAAACUGUAUUAUUGAUAUGAUAUAGGUAGAGACAAGCUUACAUAUUGAUAGAAUACCUAACGUUUGUAUGGUCAAUGUGGAGAGGACAGGCAUUUUAAUAAUUUCAAGGAAGACUAAGAAAUAUUGUCGCUCUAGCAUAGAUGGAGUAAGUGCAUAGGUACCAAAGCCGGAGUAAAAAGCGAUUGAAGAGCUUAUCAACUGUCUUUUCCACAUUGACAGUUUAUAGACGAGGCAGCUGUCAGUACCUAGUAGAAAAAAUAAUAAAGUGGGUAAGGUACAGCGGGGCAAAUCUCGACUGGGGGACAAAUGUAACUGGUCCAUUUUUUCCAUGUUUUACAAUAUUUGCAUGUUUGCAUUAUUAAAUAGAGUUUCCACCAGUUAUAUAUGAUAGGUGUGUUCAGUGGAUACAUGUAGAACUCAACAUCAUAGUGUGAUAAUGCAAAUAUUCUUCAGUUACAAUUGCCCCCCAGUCGAGAUUUGUCCCGCUGUACCUAUACAUUUGGGUGAAUUUUAUAUGAAUGUAAUAGCUGCACUGGAAAAAAAAAUGUCUAUAAUUAUAAUUCCAUAACCAGGUAGGUAGGUAGGCACAGGCAUCUACAUACAUAUAUCAUAGUGUAACUACAUUUUUAGGUUCCUACGAAGAAUGGCACUGAGAUUUCUUAAUGAAUAAUACCUAAUUGAUGAAAAAUUGCUCAUGUAAUUAAGUAUAUCAAGUACAUACCUACUCUCAACAAUUUUAUACUGUCUUUGUAUCACAAGUAGGAAAUAAGGGUAGGUACAUACUUUCUUAAUAUGAAAUAUUUCAAUAAACUGUACAUUCAGCUUUGUUCCAGUAUACCUAAGUAGGCAUGUGUGUUUAGUUUAUAUUAGGCGUCAAAUGUUUUAAGACGGAUCACUGUCUAAUUUUACGAAUUACCUAAGUCAUAAUCGUAGAUAUUAAUAAACAGUUGAAUAUUUAUGGAAA